This 728-nucleotide long non-coding RNA is filed under the name Homo sapiens (human). RNAcentral's name for it is "HSALNT0308244". Lineage: Eukaryota; Metazoa; Chordata; Mammalia; Primates; Hominidae. The record is from RNAcentral.
GUGAUUGGUGGGUUCUGCCGCGGCCGGGAAGUUCGAACAGAAGUCUGGGGAAGAGCCGGCGAAGAGCAAAGAGAUAAUACAGUACUCCCAGCUAUAGCAAGCGGCAGUUAUGGAGCAUGCGCAGCAGCAGGGGCGGCCGCAGGUCGCCGUUCAAUAAUACUCAAGGGAUUUGUACAGCCCUGUAGGAGACACCUCCAGAGAAAGUAACAGCUCUCAAUUGAUUAGCUGAGAAGCCUCAGGGGCUGGAUCCUGACAUGAACCAGACACCUCCAGAAUUCUAUCCCAAGCAAAAGAUUAUUUCAAGGCCAGAACUCACUCCCUGCUGGAGACUGACUACAAGAUCCACUGAGAUUGAUGUGUAACCUGAUUGGGCCCACAGUGAUGCUAGCCCCUUCACCAGAUGGAACAAUAAUUCCAGACAAGCCAUCAGAGCAGGUCACACCACUUGACACCUUCUCGCCCCCUUGCCUCUCCUGCAUUCCAAACCCCUCUCUUUAAAAUCCCCAUGUUCCCUCCGUAAACUGGGCAGUGCCAAUUGUUGGAAAGAAUUCUGGCACUCUUUUCCUUCUUAGCAUGGAUAAAAAGAUUCACCCUCUUUUUAUCACACCUCACUCUUGUUAUUUUGGCUUCUUUCUACAAGUGGUGAGCAACCGGGCCCCCUUUGCUGGUUAUAGUAUGAACUAUUUUAUUUUUUUUAAUCUACAAUAAAAUAAAAUACAUUCAUUAGA